Molecule: non-coding RNA, 31 nt
Filed under: Mus musculus (house mouse)
Lineage: Eukaryota; Metazoa; Chordata; Mammalia; Rodentia; Muridae
Source: RNAcentral
UACAAUGGUGUCUGAAGACGAAUUAGCCUGC